This 23-nucleotide transfer RNA is filed under the name Abrus precatorius (Indian licorice). Its description in RNAcentral is "partial tRNA-Phe". RNAcentral also lists the same sequence under 15 other names. Lineage: Eukaryota; Viridiplantae; Streptophyta; Magnoliopsida; Fabales; Fabaceae. The record is from RNAcentral.
GUCGGGAUAGCUCAGCUGGUAGA